This is a long non-coding RNA of Austrofundulus limnaeus, 104 nucleotides long. RefSeq lists it as uncharacterized. The record is from RefSeq and is a predicted model, not a curated record. The transcript has 3 exons. Lineage: Eukaryota; Metazoa; Chordata; Actinopteri; Cyprinodontiformes; Rivulidae.
CCCUCACCAUGACGGAGCGGUGCAGUCUGUGGAGCGCCCUGUCGGCUGCAGCAUGCUGCUUCUACCGGGGGUCCUUCAUGCAGGUGCAGUUUUCCAAAGAGAAA